AGUAUACUACUUUAGCUAGAAAGUUCCUCCAAAAAUAAAAGUGUCCAUUUAUCAUCCUCUUCGGAGAGGUAACGUGAGGCUCAUAGUUCCCAAAGAAAGAAGUGUUUUGUACAAGUGAGUAGCUCAUGUUGAUUUCAAAUUGCUAAGCGAUUGUUAGUGUUCAUCUAAUAAUUUUGGAAAAUUUUCAAGAACUCAAGUUGGGGUUAAUCUCAAAUAGUUGAUUGUGUUGGAAUGAUUGCUCAUCGGUCGGGGGUAGAAGUUAUUGGUUGGUUGCGCAAAGACUGCACCUAGGGAUGUUGAGUUGUUUGAAACUCUUGAUACCAACGUUAUCUAGUGAGACAUCCAAGGAUCAGAUAUAUCGUUGAGCAGACGUCUAUACUAAGCACUUAUCCGUAUUCAGUAAAGCAGCCGAUGAGCUCCUCUCUUACUUGGAGCUAGUAAAUGUCUAGUACUAUUUCAUCAUGUUUUCGAUUAUAGUUUGGGUAUGUUGGGGCCCUACCCCGACCAUCUUUCCUGGUAUAGUUACUAUUUCUCUAGAGGCUUAGUAAAUGGUGUUAAGUUGUCAUGUGUGGUCAUUGUUUCACUUGUCUAUAUCUGUUCUAUUUAAUGAGCCAGAAUUGUGCAAUCACAUAGACCCUCAUAAUUGUUAAUGUUUAGGGGUAAUAACUCUUUCGCUUAGAAUAUCUGUCAGUUGUGUAGCACAUAUUUAUACGGUUCUUGUCCGCUCUGUCUAGGCUUUGGGGCAUGACAUAUAAAUUACAAUAAUUAACAACUUAAAGUAUUUAA
Molecule: long non-coding RNA, 786 nt
Organism: Capsicum annuum
Lineage: Eukaryota; Viridiplantae; Streptophyta; Magnoliopsida; Solanales; Solanaceae
Exons: 3
Source: RefSeq, a predicted model, not a curated record